UGGUUUAACAAAAUAUAGUAGAAUGGAGACGACGGGUUUAUUCAAAUCCUCCAUGAGAUUUUUCUCCGAUCAAGAGCUCUGCUACGCCGAUAUCCUCACUCCUCAAGAGGUCCUUGCGAGAAUUCAAGUUGCGGUCCUCAAUUUCCUCAGAAUUCUCAGUUCCUCUACUCCUGCCAUCUCAAAUCUUCCUCUGAUUGAUCGAAGUUCGAGCAACAGCC
Molecule: non-coding RNA, 218 nt
Organism: Cucurbita pepo subsp. pepo (vegetable marrow)
Lineage: Eukaryota; Viridiplantae; Streptophyta; Magnoliopsida; Cucurbitales; Cucurbitaceae
Source: RefSeq, a predicted model, not a curated record